UUGUGACACAUUCUGUGUUUCCUUUUUCAGUUUUUAUUCUUUUUUUUUAUUAAUUAAUAAUUUGAUGGCCAAGACAUUUCUGAACAUCAUACUGGUAAUUAGGGCAGAUGUGCAGGUGAGCAGUACUACACAACAGACAAACAGAAACCAGAACAAACCAGUAUACAGCGUUUACAAAACAAAGAUCAAAAGAGUUCAAAGCAGCAGUUGACCACUCGUGCAAAGGACACUGACACUGAGCUAAACACACAUUUGUUGUUAAACAGCACCAUACGACAUUGUGCAAACUUGCGAGAUGAUACAAGGAUUCUUGGUUCACAUUAUCCUGGAUCAACAUCCAACACAGACUGAUGACAGUACACAAACAACAAACAAGUUAUUGCACAAUUCAGUAACACUUACAGUCUGAAUCCUUUUUCAGCACCAAUCGAAAACAUUUUUUUGUGAUUUCUUUUUCAGAAUUUUCUAUUUAUUUUAUUAUUUUUAUUUUCUGUUCAUUUCCAGAACUUGUGAAUCCCGCAGCACUGCAUCUUCAUCUUAUACAUGACAUAUAGCAUGACAGCAGGGGCAGGAAACUGCUUCCCCUUCCUGAGUAACAUUUUCCAGAAUCACUUUGAGGUCGACCAAAAGUUUUGUUCCAUGAUCUCAACAAACUCGACAAGCCAACCAAGCUUGACGGUAAUCCUUUUUCAACUUGAUGACUGCCUUCUGUUCUGGUGUCCACCACCACAGAGACAGAAAACACUGCACAAACUAGUAUUACUAUAAAAAAAGAUCACUAUAACACGCAAAUAUUGUUUCUGUUCUACUGUGAGCUCCAUCUUUUGUAAUUAUUCCCUCAUAACGCUGCUUGCAGCUUUAAAUUGUAAUUAUUCCUAUGUGCCAGGCUCUGACAGUGGUGCAGUGGUUAGCACUGCUAUACCACAGUAAGAAGCUCCAGGCUGAAUUUGCUGUUUUGUGAAGAGUUUCCAGAGCUGUUAUGUUUUUGAUAACCACAGAACAGUUUGUUAUUUCCUAUUUUUCACUUUUAAACAAGAAGUCCAUGUUGCUUAGCCUCGACUGCCUCUGUAUUAGUCUGGACUGGAAGCUGCUUCUUAUUUCUUUUAAAUAUGAAUAAUGUCAGAAAACCAACAACAAUAACAGCAACCGCAACAAAACAAACAACCAUUAUAACAGUUGGAGUUACUAUGUCUUCCACAUCCUGCAUGUUUCCAGCUUCACUUUCCACGAGUCGCUGCUGCAACAUCUUUUCAU
Oreochromis aureus is the source of this 1254-nucleotide long non-coding RNA. NCBI's taxonomy places the organism in Eukaryota, Metazoa, Chordata, Actinopteri, Cichliformes, Cichlidae. The record is from Ensembl.